Molecule: long non-coding RNA, 37592 nt
Filed under: Capsella rubella
Lineage: Eukaryota; Viridiplantae; Streptophyta; Magnoliopsida; Brassicales; Brassicaceae
Description: long non-coding RNA (CRUB_LNC004935)
Source: RNAcentral
AACGUUGUUGUGUGGAUUCUAGUGCCGAUCCUAGGAGCACUCCUCAUUCUCUCUAUAUGCGCCGGGACAUUUGCCUACUAUCUACGCAAACGAAAACAAAUCAAUGGAAACAACAACUUGGAUGCUGAAACUGGAGAGAACUUGUCCAUCUUUAGCUAUGAUGGCAAAGUCAAAUACCAAGAGAUCAUAAACUCAACCAAAGAAUUCGAUCCAAAAUACCUAAUCGGAACCGGAGGAUACGGCAAAGUAUACAAAGCAAACCUCCCAGGCGCAACCGUAGCAGUGAAAAAGCUACACCAAACAAUGAACGAAGAGAUAUCAAAGCCAGUGGUGAAGCAAGAGUUCCUAAACGAAGUAAGAGCCUUAACAGAGAUCCGUCACCGCAACGUGGUGAAGCUCUUCGGCUUCUGCUCUCACCGCCGCCACACUUUCCUGAUCUACGAGUACAUGGAAAAAGGAAGUUUAAACAAACUGUUAGCUGAUGACAAAGAAGCGAAACGACUCAAUUGGACCAAAAGGAUCAAUAUAGUGAAAGGUGUGGCGUACGCGUUAUCGUAUAUGCACCAUGACAGAUCAACUCCGAUCGUCCACCGUGAUAUUAGCAGCGGCAACAUCCUUCUCGAUAACGAUUACAAAGCUAAGAUCUCCGAUUUCGGUACAGCGAAGCUUCUCAAGAUGGAUUCCUCAAAUUGGUCCGCCGUCGCCGGAACCUAUGGCUAUGUCGCUCCAGGUAUAUCUAAAUCAAUGAAAUUGAAAUCUUUAAAAUCGAUUUCGAGCUUAUGAAAUUGAAAAUUUCUGAACAGAAUUGGCUUACGCGAUGAAGGUGACGGAGAAAUGCGAUGUGUAUAGCUUCGGAGUAUUGACGCUGGAAGUGAUAAAGGGGAAACAUCCGGGAGAUUUGGUUUCGGCUUUGUCAUCGUCGUCUCCGGGAGAAACUCCGUCGCUGAGAAGCAUUUCCGAUGAGCGUUUAGGAGAACCAGAGGCGAAGAUUAGAGAGAAGUUAGUGAAGAUGGUGGAAAUGGCGUUGUCGUGCUUACAAGCAGAUCCAAUGUCUCGGCCAACAAUGUUGUCAAUUUCAACGGCAUUCACCUAAAAACUUAUAAUAUAAGGUUUUUACAAUUAAAAUAAAACACAAAGUUAAACACAUGAUAAAUUAUGUGAUUAAUAAAUAUUAAUAUAGUUAUGCUAUUUUAGCCAAACGUUUGAGUUUUACUAGAGUUAUAAUUAUGGCUGCGUAAUGUGAAUAUACUAAAUCUUGUAGUUGUUUUGCUUUGGCUGAAUAAUAUUUUGUUUAAAAUUAUGUUAUAAAUAAUUAUUACUAUAGUUUAUAACAUGUAGUCAUCUCUUAAAUAUUUUUUAAUAUCAAUUUGAUUAUUUGUUUUUGUGAAAGAUGGAAGUAUGUGUAAUGUGUUCAUCAAUGCAAUUUCGAUUUGUAUUCGAAAGUUUUAAACUUUUAACUGUUUUGGAGAAAUAGACCUUUUUUUAGUCUGUUUUAUUAUAUACUAGUCAGUUUUCUGCGUUACGCGUGUGAGGUCUAUUAUAUUGUUUAUGAGUAAUUGGUUCAUAUUUUAUUUUUUAUUUAUUUUUCACUUUAACAUAUUUUUUUUUAAUCUUAGAUUGUGAUUGUAUAGAAAACAUGUUGAGUUUUAGCUUCAUUAGUAGUUGACAAAUUAAAUGUGUAUAAUAUUUAAUAAAAUGAACUAAAUAAAGAAAUAUAUGUGGUUUAAACAGAAGUAUGGUGGAGAAUCAUAAAGAAACAUGUGUUAUUAGGGUUCCUACCAAAUACUUAUUUACAUAUGUCUAAAUCUAAAAUUAAAUGAUAAAAUUAUAUAAAUAAUUUUUAAAAUUAAAUAAUAAAAUGAGGUGGAUGAUGAUUAGGAUGAUGAGGUGGCUUAAGGAGGAGAGAGCAAAGUUAACUUUAUAUAUAGAUAUAUUCGUUUCUGAUUUUUUGUUUAAUAUAUUUUCUGUAUUUUCAUAUGGAACAAUUUUAAAAUUUAACAUAGUAGUAUAAUUUACUUUAUAUUUAGUUCAUUUCAUUUAAUUAUGUUUUUUUACUUUUUAAUUUUUAUGAAAUAUUGUUAAUUUUUUAUUUUGUUUAUUAGUUUACCAUAUAUGAUGUAUUGAAAACAAUUAGUUGAAUUCAUAUUGGAAACCUUUUAAAGAAAUAUUAUUUUUAUUGUUACCAUUUUUAUACGUGUUUUUAAAAUGAGAAUUCAUGUUUUGUCCCAACCUAUCUCUUUUAUGUUGGAGAAUUUUGAAUUUUUUGAGACAUAAAUUACACAAAUCAUAAUAUUAUUUUUAAUGAAUAUAUAUAUAUUCAUUAUUUUUUGUUUUAUUCCCGUUAAAUCCCAUUAUAAUUUAGGUUUAUAUUGUGUAAAUAUAAUCAAAUUUUGUGUCAUAUUAUUUUUAAUUGAUAUAUAUAUAUAUAUAUUCAUUCUAAAAUAUUUACUUAAAAACUAUAAGCUAUUAUUUAUAUAUUAGUUCGUAUUAUCAAUAAUUAGUAAGUUUUUUAAUCAAUUAUUAUUUUUAGUUUUAUAAUAUAAAAUAUAAGAAAAGACCUUUCAUAUUUCUUUUAGAAAACUUAUUUACAUAUGUCUAAAUCUUAAAACUAAAUGAUAAAAUGAUAUAAUUAAUUUUUAAAAUUAAAUAAUAAAAUGAGGUGGAUGAUGAUUAGGAUGAUGAGGUGGCUUAAGGAGAAGAGAGCAAAGUUAACUUUAUAUAUAUAGACUAGCAGUUGACCCGCGCUGCGCGCGGAAGGUUUAUAUAUAUUUUUGUGAUAUUUUAUUUAUUUUAACUGAUUUUCAAAACAUAUUAUAGUUAUUUUCUCUUGAAUUAUUAUCUUUCAAUAUUUAAAUUUGGAUUAAAAUCAUUUUCUUUUUCAUCAAGUUAUAAAUUAAUAUUUCGCUUUCAAUUUUAUUUUUCCCCUUUAAGAUUUUAUAUGUACAAUUACAUAAAUGUUGUUUUUAUUCUACCAUAAAUUGAAAAUUUACUUACAUUCUUAAAGUCAGUAACACAUUUAAAAUUUUAAACUAUGAUCAAUUUAAAAUGAAAGUUGAAUUAUAUUAUUACCACUAACUAAUAUAAAAUGAAAGUAUUUCUUAUUUAACAUUUCAUUUAUUUACAUAAUUUAUUUUUAUUUAUAUAAAUUUUCUAUUAAUUAAAUAAGUAGCAUAAAUAUGCACUAAAUGAAUGUUUUAAAUUUAUUUUAAUGUAGAAAAAAUGUGGUUUAUGUGGAUGCUUAGGUGGCAUCAUGAGAAGAGAGAAAAAGCUAACUUUAUAUAUAUAUAUUACUGCACAAUGAAUAUUAUAAUCAACCGAAUGUUCUAACGUAUAUAAGAGCAUGAUUAAUGGUAGGCUUUUAGCCUUAAGGUUUUGUUAAGAAAAACUUUUAACCAACUUCGUAAACCUCAACCUCUAUAACAAUUUUUUUUUGGGUCCACUUCCUUCUCAGAUUGGAAACUUACCCAACCUUGUUAAGGUAGGCCUUAGUACAAACAUUUUGUAAAUUUCACCCACUUCCAUUGGAAAUUUCACCAACUUGGUAAAACUUAAUCUCUAUAUCAGUUCUUCCUCGGGUCCACUUCUUUCUGAGUUUGGAAACUUAGUUGAGCUGGAUUUGUCUAGCAACAACCUCACAUGUGAACUUCCAUAAGAAAUUGAAAAUCUCGCAGGUUAUUCGAAGCUACUACUAAAUGGGAAUCCACUAUCAGGAAGAGUUCCUACAUUUCUAAGUUUCUUAACCAAUCUCGAGGUUCUUGAUUUAUCCUUAAACAAUUUCAGCUCCCAGAUCCCGCAAACUUUUGACUCCUUUUUAAAGCUUCAUGACAUGAACCUAAGCAGAAACAAAUUCGGCGAAUGUUUUCCCCGCCUCACAAAGCUGACUCAAUGAAAUAAUCAAGAUCUCAGCCACAACCAGCUCGAUGGAAAAAUCCCAUCAGGGCUCAGCCUCUUGCAAAGCCUUGAUAAGCUUGACCUCUCACAUAACAAUCUUUCGGUUCUCUUUCCAACAAGUUUUGAGGGCUUAAAAGCGCUCAUACAUCGAGAUAUUAAACAAUAAACUCGAGGGUUCACUUCCAGAUAAUGCAGAGUUUCGAAAUGCAACAUCAGAUUCAUUGUAGGGAAACUAAAGCUUAUGCAGUAAUAUUGCUAGACAAAAGUUAAUAUUAGACUAUAACCAGUGCUAUAACACAGUUUGAAUUAUAUUUAGUAUAAAAAUGGAUAUAUUAUAUAUUUUAAAAUAAAGUUUUGAUAGAUGAUUAUAGUAAGUGAAACAUUUCAAUCCGAUACGUAGUAAGAAUUUUUGUUGAACGUAUUUUUGUUGAAAAGAAAUAUAUUAUUUAAGUCUAAAUUUUUGACCAGUUUCAAGAUUUCUUUUCAUUUUUCUCAUAGAUUAAAUAGUUUAUAUCCGUUUUAAAAAAUUCAACUCAUGGCAUAGGUGGAAAAUAUAAUUAUAUAUAUAUAUAUAUAUAUAUAUAUAUGAUAAUUUAUUUCUUUCAUAAAUAUGGAACCAUUGAGAAAUGAAGUAUAAUGAUUGUAACGCAUGUGUCCAAAUUCUGGUCGUAAUGAAGUUUUGUAGGGUGUCGAUUCACAUCAAGUGUGGGUAUCGGUCGUCACCAAGGUAGAAGUGGUGUUGUCUGGUGGUUGUGUCUACUGACACCAGUUUUCUGUGAGCAUUGAUUUGUGUUUUUGAUUGCAUGGUUUGGUUGUUUGGUAUUCGUUUGUGUGUGAUUGUGAUCUUAACGCUUGUGUCCAUAGCCCAGUAGAUGGGAUAAUCGCUUCAUUGAGUAUUUUUGAUAAUACUCACGCAUCUCAUUGUGUUUGUGGUGUAGGUAAAGUGUGGCAUGGAAUCAUGGCAAUAAAAACCAGAUUUUUUCAUUUUUGCUGAGAUCCCUUUAUUUCAAUGUGUACUGCUUUUGCUACACUUAGAUCACAAAUUCUAACUUAAUAGUUGAAUCAAAAAAUGAAUAUGCCAUUCAUAGCAAAAUUUUGAAUUAGUACAAUUACAGUAGUUCGAUGAGUAAUAUAUAUAUAUAUAUGAAAUAUUAGCACUCUCACACCGUUUCCAUCUUUGUUAUUACAUUUUAGCACCGUUUGAGACUAUGGCACCGUUUUUGACUGUGAAUAGACAAAACACUCCCUAACUUAAACAUUUAACUAAACAACUUCUCUCACAAUAUUGUUUCACACACCAAAUUUUGUUUCCUUUACUAUAUAUUUUAAACUUUAAUAAUAAUAAACAGAACAAUAUCUUCUCAUCUAUCGACUGUAAACAAAAAGAGAUUGAAAAUAAUACCUAAAUCCCCAGUUUAUCUUCUACAUCUACCAUGUUUCUUCUCGAAGAACUAUUCUCAACUACCAUGUUUCUUCUCGAAUUUCAGAUAUGGUUGCCAGAGAUCUUGAAGGAAAAUAAUUGCCCAGAAACUCUCGUUGUCUCUAACCUGCUCUACCCAGAUUUGUUUUUCAAUGGAUCUGCAAAUUAUUUAAGGUUUACUCCACUAUUCCUUUGCUUCCUCGAGUUACGUUCUUACCACUACAACCCCCAAUAGAUUCUUCCAUUACAAAGAAUCCGUCUGCUUUUCUUCAUUGUCGUAGGGUUUUGAGUGAAGACGAAACACCUUUCUAGAGUCGUCAGAAUCGUCCCUCCUUUCUAGAGUCGUCAGAAGCAUUUCUAAGUGUUGUUUUGUGCACAAACCUUAGCAAACGUAGAUUUUGUGGACAUAUAAUCGUGGACUUCAUUUUUGUGGAUGGCACUUCUUGGAUAAAACGAGUUCCAGAGGUCAAAUCUCACAUUUUUGUUGAUUUUGGAAUUUUUCUUGGAUGGCAUGUAGUUAGAAAUGCUUGUGCCGUGUCAUACUUUUGCUUUGAUCAAUCAUACAUGUGCAUCUACUAAAAGGGAACUUUUUGGUUUGCUUGAAGAAGAAAGCACGUUCGUGUCCAAAAUGUACGUCACGUUACUUAACGCUGCUUUUAUUCAACGUGAGAUGUUGAUUUCCACGAAAUAAUGACCAUAUGUUCAGUUUAUUUGUAGCAUCAACAAUCAUGCUUUUGUAUACCAAUUAUCAUCUUUAAUGUUAACCAUUUGUGUCUUUCUUCUCUGUAAUGUUCACAUUCCAAAAUAUUAUCUUGCAAAGGUAUUAUUCCAUCUUUUGCACCAUCUCAAAAUCUUCAUAAGAUAAGAUGUAAAAAAAAUUGAAUAUCCAUAGGAAAUCUUACAAAGUUAUUAUUUCAAUGAAUCUUCUUGACACUCAUUAUCUUUUUCUUCCUGAAUUUUCUAACAAUAACAUAAAAAACAGAUUCAAAAUGAUAUCAUAAUCAAACCAACAAUAAACGUAACCAUCAUACCACAUUCGUAACCAUCAAACCGCUGCCAUCAAAUCACAUCACAACCACAACAUUUCCAGCCACCACAUCAUAUCCACCGUAUCGCAUCCACCACAUUUCAUCACAUUCACCGAAACGGAACUCUACCAUUGAACUUCAAUUCUGUGGACAGCGAUUCAUGGAUUUCAUCUCCGUGGACAGAGAGUUUCUUGGACGUUUCUUUCUUAAAUUUAGUGGCCAGUUGGAAAACAAUGAUAAUGAGAAUCUCCGGAAACUAAAGAUGCAAAAAAAUUAUUUGACCAAGAAAUAGCAAAAUUUUAAAAGAUGUUAAAAUGAUACGUCGGAGGUUAAGGUACACAACCAUUUGAUAAGAAGAUUGGGUCGAACACACAAUUCCAGAAAACAUGAAAACUGAAUCUUGCUGGAGAAAUCCAAAAAAAAAACGAACGAGCACAAAAACGAAUAUUCAAAAAAAGGAACACUUAAUCAAUUCAAUGUUUAGCAACAUACAUAAAAAACGGAUUGACUCACCUUAGAUGAGAAGAGCUUCUAGGUCCCAUUUCCUGUAAAUUGUAAAAAACCGUAAAGAUAAAAAAACAAUGAAUUAUGAGUAAAACUUCACAAUUUUUAACAAAAAUAGCAAAUAUAAUUCACAUGAAUCAGUGCAAAAAACCUCAAUUUCACGUUGAGUAUAAACACCCACAGAGACAAAAAGAAAAAAAAAAGAAAAAAAAAUUGCCGUCGAGAGUAGGAAGAAGAAGACGAGAGAGGUGAGUUUUUAUUAUAAGCCGCUUUCGCUAGCAAUUGAUGGCUAAGAUGAAAUUAUAUCCAACUUGAGCAUUUUUUGGUUUGUUUCACUCAUCUUUUAAGUUGGAGGACAUAAUUGUCCAAAUCUGGCGUCUACAGUGUAAAAGUAAGUGAAAACGGUCCAUAAACACAAGAGGGUGUUAACGCGAGAACUAAGACACAUAAACGGUGUCUCUCUAUAUAUAUAUUACUAGAUUUUAACCUGCGGUACACCGCAUGAAGAUAUUUUAUAAUGUCUUUCUUUUUUUAUUAAUUUUGUAUGGUAUAUAAGAUUGUACUACAUGCUGGAAAAAAAAUUGUACAACUGUAUUUUAAUGUUAAUUCUAUGAUUUAACCCGUGUAAUAUUGCAUGACAAUUUGUUUUUUAUAUAAUGUUAAUUUGAUCAACUUAACUAAAUAAGUCUAAUAUUCAAAAUAAUGAAAUAAUGUUGGCAUAACAUAAUUCGUUUAAAUAGCCUAAUUUCAGAUUAAAAUAUUUUGUGAGUUUUACUAUAGUAGACAACCCGUAAAAAUAUCUAUAGUCAUAACUUUGUAAAUUAUAAACCGCUUCAUCACAUGACCCGUGCUACACAAUUAUCAAUAAUAUUUUAGUACAUACAUUUUUGUAUCGUUUGAGUAAUAUACGUCCGUUUUCAAAAAUUCAAAUUGCAACAUAUGCAAAAUAAAAAUUAUAUUUUUAUUAUACAUAUGUUGUAUGUAAUAAUAUAAAUUUGAAAACAAAUAAGAUCAUAUAAAGAUAUUGGAGAAAUAUUUGAUUUAUUAGGGAGAGAUUUUAGGAAAUUUUGUUAAAUGUAAUAAAUAAUGGUUUCUAGUUUUGCAAUUUUAUUAUGAUUUAAUUACAAAAUUUACCUUAAAUUUUUGUUAUUUAUUCAAUUGCCAUGAGUUUAAUUAUGAAAAUAUUACAAAAUAAAAAGUUAUAACCCAAAAGGUAUAUCAAAAAUGUUAAUAUAGAAAUAUAUAUAUAUAUAUAUACUAUUUUCUUUGAAUUUUGUUAAUUUUAGUGUGUUGCGUUGUAUAUAUACCUCUUUGAAUCAAAUGGCAACAAAGGUUAACUUGGUUAUGGGAUUAACAAUUGUGGUAGAUGUUGAGAGUUCAAAUUCUCUAGUGUAAAAAUUUAACUUUCUAAAAUUAAACGUCCUAAUUUAAAGUUAAAGGUAUUACUUGGCAUCAUAGUCAUAAUCCAGAUACAGCAUUGGAAAUUGAGACCAUUCCUUGUACAACCAUUGGCAGCCUACAAAGGUUGUAUCGUCUUUUUAUUUGCUUGAAGUCAUAGAGAGAUAGUGAAAGAAUACAUGUAGUGUUGCAACUCCACCCAAAAGAGGAAGAGGUCGACCAAGAAAAGGACAAGUCAGAUUUGUUCAUCCAUUGAUACUUUAAAAUCAUUUGAAUGCUUAUUGAUAUUUUGAUAUUUUGAUUGAAAUAAGGAGCCAAUGGUUAUAUUGUUUGGACAAGGAACACCAUUACAAGGAGAACCUUCUCAGGGAGCACGUCAACUGUCUCAUGAAGCACCUUUAAUAGUUUUGUUAAGACAUGUUCCAAACAAGUGAUGUCUAUUCAUUAUGAGUUCCAAAAGGUUUACAUCACAAACAUAGAAUUGUUUGCUUAAUAACCUAGCAUAAGUUUUUCCUGAUUUCCUUUCCUAAACAAUACAUAACCCAGCACAAUGGUGAUAACACAAAGCCACACAAAACAGACUUUGAAGCACAAUUUACACUUGUUGUGGAGUUCCUUUUUGCUGAUCAUUUCUUCUUCCUUCACUUCUUUCAUCAUAGCCUUCAACUCAUUCACUUCUCCUUUGAUUUUUCUAAUCUCAUUUGCAGGGAUGGCUACUCUUGGUAAAGCAUCAUCUACUUCUUCAAACACGGCAUCCUCGACCCACUUAAACAAACUCUAAUGAACAAAAAAAUGACAAAUAGUUAGCUAGCUUACACUGAUUUUUCUACCUAAAUAAUAAGUUUUCAUAUACUUACAUCUCUUUUGCUUGUCCACGAAUUCACAUCACGUUUGCUUGCACAACGAAAGAGGUCGUCCCGGAUUCUCUUCAGGUUUAGAUGUAAAGAUCGUGACACCUAAACCACAAACACACUUGCUAGGCACACCACGCUCACUAACGCCACUCGUUGUGACAGAGCUCGAACUUGAACUCAUCGGAACAGAUAGAUUGCAGAAGAAUUUUGGGGAUUUUCAGAUUUUGUGACCUAGAAAUCGAUUUGGGGAUUUUAAGUUUCAUCAAUGUGUAAAAAGACGUCGUUUUGUUAACAGAUAAACGGCAACGUUUGCAUUAAACGAAAGCAGGAGACGGAUUGUUAACCCCGUCUGUGCAGUUCUAACAGCGAGUUAACACCAUGGUUAAAACGGCUCAGUCAACAAAAGUUUGAUAAUUUAAGCAAAGUCAACAAAAAGUUUGUAAUUAUAAAGGUUUCCGAAAAAUUCAUGAUUAAACGUCCCAAAUUUGAAAGUUGAAAAUUAUUAUAACAUUUUCCCAUUGAAUAAUACCCCUAAACACCAUUAUCAUUCUACUCUGCACAAAAACAAAAACAAAAAGUUUCCUUCUUUGAAAACCAUUAACCAAUCCGAGUAUUUUCUCAUGGCCCGAGGAAUUUCAUGUGGAAGUUCUUGAUGAAAUGGAAAUCGAUCAUUGACCAUGACCACUUGAUUCAGUCUAAUUUUUAUCAUAUCUCAGUCAGUACACUCACACACACGUCAUUUUGACCAAUAGUCCCUAAAUAUCUUCCAAAGCAAAGAGUUGAAAUUUACUCAACGGAUUGUUCAACGUUUAACACCUAAGAAGGUUUCGUAAUUUCACAAAGUAAACAGCCAAAAUAAGAAAUUUGAACCCACUACUGGUUUAGGCUACUUAGAGCAUUUUUAAGGGUGUAUCUUUGAGGAUGUAUCUUAACCAUUAAUAGGUAUAUUAAUAAUGAAAAGUGUAAGUUAAGAAGAUUUGAUUUUGAGGUGAUUAUUGGUUAAACCUCUAGUAUCUUAGAGUUUUAAUAAUAUAAUAAUAUUUAUAUAUUGUUAAAUUUUUGAAAUUAAAUAAAUUAUUAAUAAACUGAAAACUUAAAAAAAUAAACAUAUAAACAUAUAUAGAAAAUACAAUUCAAAAUAAUUUAAGAAAAACAAUAAUGAUAAAAAUUAGAAACACAAAUAUAGAAAUAAUAAACAUUAAAAUGACAAACAGUAAUAGAUAGAAACAUAUUAAUUGAAGCACAAAACAUUAUAAGAAAUUAAUGCAAAGUUUAGAAAUCAAUCUUUCCAUCUAGGGUUCAUUUGAGAGAGAUUUUUCGAUUUGGGGCUUUUUUUUCUUUUUGACAAACCAAAAAAAAAAAUCGUUUGUUUACUUAUUUUUUUACCCAUUCAACUUCUGCCACGUUGCGUAAGAACUGAGUCGGAAAAGAUGUUGGAUAGCAUCCGGAUGCUCCUUCACAUUCUACUGUUUUCAAUAUCUGGGUUUUAAAUAUUACUCUAAGGGCCGAUCGGAUAUAGCCAUAAAGAUGGCCUUACCCGACGCCGACAUGUUAAAUUAAAAUUAGAGGAUAUAUAAAAAGUAGAAUUGAAAAUGAUUUGUAUAAAUUUUUUAAAUCCUAUCUUAUUCAGUAAUGAAUUUUAAAAGUCUAAUGAAAUUUAGUAAGGGAAAAUUACAUUUUAACUUUCAACGUGUUAGUCAGUAGCACUUUAAAUUUCGAGAACUAGCAUUAUAAAUAACCAAAAUGAUUUCUAACACUUUACACAUUAAAACUAGCUUGUAUGUUCGCACCGCAAUGAUGGAGUAAUAAUGUCCAUCAACAAAAUAUUUAAAUUAAUUUUUAGUUUGUUUUAUAUAUAAAAAGAUAAUAAAAGAGGUGGCAAAAGAAAUAAGAAAAAAUAAAAGAGAUUUCAUCUUCAUCGACUACUCACUGUCUGAUCAUGAAUCUUCUAGAUAUUAUUUAUGUUCGUUUCGUUGACGUAAUCGCUGCCGCUGCCGCUGAUAUUAUAUUCACUUUACUGAUUGUGAUCAGAAACCGAAGAAUCAUCCCCAUUUGAAUAGGGUAAAGGUGUGAUAUUCUUGAUAUAUAUAGGAGACUAUUUGGUUCCUAACGAAAAAUCAAUCAGUUUGAAUCGACCUAGUGGAUAUACAUAUCUAAAUAUUGUAUAUAUAUUUGUGGCAAAUAUGUGGUCGGACUUUGAGUAGUAGUAGAAAUUGUAAAUGAUAAAAUUAAUUGAAAUUUAAAUUAAACAAAUAGAAUUUAACUAUUUCUUUUUUACAGACAAUAAUGAUUUAAUAUUUUAUUCUUGAAAGUAAGUAUUUUAUUUUAAAAAAAUUGAAUGGUUUAGGAUAUUUGAUUAAAACAUUAAAUGGUUUCGGGUUAUGAUAUAUGAUUAUAACCUAUAGAGAUUGUCUCAUGGUAAAAAAAACAUGGAAACAUAAUUUCUAAUUUGAUUUUUGUCUACUCAACCAAAGAUUUGAAGCAAAAAUAUUUAGAAGAAUAAAGAAGAGAAUUUAGCAUAUUAGCACCGUUUAUGUCUUUCUAUUCACGGUCUAGCACCGUUUCAGCAAGUCACACCCUUUCUACUUACCAUUUGACUCUUAUGUCCUUCUAACUAAGACAUCCGAUCGAACUAAACAAACAUUUUAUUAAACGGUGAAAAAUAAAGAAACUGUCAUUUAAAUAAACUGUCAUUUAUUUGGAAAACAGAAAAUUUACCAUUAAUUACAGUUUCCAAACUUUUUCGUUCUUCUAAGGUGGAACCCUAGAGCCGCCGCAUCUUCUCCCAGUUCAAACCGGAAUCUUACCGGAAAACACUCAUUACCCCCAAGACAGCCGUUCUUCUCUAGCCGUCAUCUGAGGCCUAGGAGCUUUUCGUCGCAACCUGUCAUCGGAGCCCUAGGUACCCAUCUUGCGAACGACAUCUAUGGCCUCCAACCGCCGCAUCACUGGGUUCUUCAAACCGCAAUCGACGCAUCCGCCUACAGAUGCAGAUAACUCUGAGGAUCCCCCCCUCUGAAUGGGAUCCUCGUCUUCCUCACCGUAUAUUCGCCACCAACCGUUACCCCGACGCCCGGCUCAAUGUCUACUCAAAACCGGAUAUACUCACUGUAAUCUACAAGGUCCUAAAAGGCACCCAAGAGUUCGAUACUAUUCUUGAUUCCCCGCUGCGGUCGUUGUUUAAGUUAAGAGUCAGCGAGUGUAGUAUCUCGUGUAAAUUGGUCCACGCGCUGCUCUGCCGACAAUUGGUAUCCAAGCGGAAGUACGAGUUGUGGACUGUUUUCGGUGGACAACCGUUACGAUUUUCGUUGAUGGAGUUUGGCGCUGUCACAGGUUUGGAUUGCUCCGAGUUCCCCGAAGAUUAUGAUCCUGAUUACCAACAUUUCCCUGCCCCCGGAGAGCAAUGUUACUGGGAUAAUCUUAUUGGUGACGACCGGAAGGCAACUUUGGCUGAUGUUUCCAAAGUUUUCGAAGACCCCAAGGUUGAUGAUUUGCAAAAGAAACUUCGUCUUGCGUUGUUGCUUAUCGUGGAUGGUGUCCUUAUUGCUUCUAGCCAAACACACCGGCCUACAUUCAAGUUUGUGGAGAUGUUGGCUGAUGUUGACUCUUUUCUAACGUUCCCUUGGGGCCGUGAAUCCUUCUUGAAGACCAUUUCUGCUAUGAUGCCUGGUAAGAAGAUUCUAACCAAACCUGCUUCGAAAAAGCUCAGAGUUCAGGGGAAAUACUCUGACCCUCUCUCAACAUUCACUGAACAACUCCAGUAGAAGACAUUCCGCCUCAAUGGUUUCCCUCUAUCUCUCCAACUGCUCGCUUAUAGGAACAUUAGUGGCCUCCUUGAUAAGAUCCCCGGUUCCAAUGACCCUCGUACCUUUCUAGAAUGGGAUUCUGUUGGUAUUCCCAAGAAUAGCUUGCAGCUCACAGAUGUCCACCAAUUCGAGCGCUCACCUGAGGUAUGUUCCACCCUAAAAUUACCUACCAAGAUAACCCAUCCACGUGGAUAACACUCUUAUGACUAGUUUUUUUUGUUUUCCCAGUUAACUAUCUCUAACUAUAUUCAUGUCGACCCACCGGAGGAGGGUUGGGGAGAGUUCGACGAUGAAGUUAAAGACCGCAAGGUUUCUUACUUGAUGUCUCUAAUUGAAGAAAGACAUGUUUUCAAAAGUAGUGAGUGGCCUGGCGGUGAUUCUUCAUUGCCUCUAAUUGUCAUUCCAGAAAAACCACGUGAUGUUAUCCAUAGGCGGCACAUUGUCUCUCGGAGAAGGAAGACAUCACAAAGGUUUCGCUCCCGUCAGUCCACGACAUCCAAGCACAAAGAUAAGCCAGUUACCCCAAUGGAUAACCAAUCUAACAUCGAAGAUCCACUCCAAAAUGAUCUCAGAUAUUGGUUUGAGGCUCAACUCACGUCUAUCCGCUCCAGUUUUGAUGCAAGGCUGAAUAAGUUGGAGUCUAAGAACAAAAAAUUGAUUGGGAAAUUAAACUCUAUGCUUUCUCGUGGUAUAUGGAAACCACGCCAUCGCCGUCAGCUCCACAUUUUCAAGAAACGUUGUGUUAAUAAUAAGAAGGAAUCACAGCCUCCCCCCCCCCCAACAAAGAGGGAGUGUGUGAUAACGCACACAUGAGUGUUCCCAAAACUGUUAACUCUGAAUUACAUGAAACGACAUUAGACACUGGUAGUCCAGAAGAUAUUCUAGACGGUGGGCACGACUGGUCAAAAUACAGUACAAAUGUAUGUAUUUUCUUCCCACUACUUGUCUUUUUUAUUUUUUUUGUUAGGUUAAUCGUGUUUGUGAUUCUAGAGGUUAUGAUUCUCUUUUUUUUUUCAACAGGAUCCUCUCGACGAGUCUAUAAACUUAGCUGCAACACCCUCUAAGAGUCAUGUACACAUUACUGUAAGCAACCCCUGUCAAGUAUGCAUCUUUUGACUCCUGUCAAGAUCUUACCUUCAACAUCUUAUCUCACAUUUUCUACCAAUCAUUUCCCCUGCAUGUUUUCCACACACAGGGUGAUCAGGACGCCAAGUUUCUCUCGCAGUUGCCAGUCCAUGCAGAGGAUAUCCAGCAAGAGGAUGCCCAGGGAGCCAAGGCCCUACAAGUCUAUGCAGAGGAUAUCCAUUCCGUGAAUAUCCAGGAAGAUGAUGUACAGGCACACGCUAUCCAGGCACAAGAUGACCAUCAACAUGGUGACCAGGCAGAGGGUGACCAGGCAGCCAAACCCCUACCAGUCGAGGCAGAGGAUAUCCAUCCAGAGGAUAACCAUGCAGAGGAUUAUCAGGUAUGAGAGUCCCUAUUCCAGGUCUUACUCACCAUUUCCUCCUACUUUAAUUUUAUUGUCCAAAGGAAGCACAUCUCUCACAAUACUUCUUCAUUCAUCCCCAUUCCGGGGAUAUCCAGGAAGAUGAUGUCCAGGCACACGCUAUCCAGGCACAGGAUGACCAUCAACAGGGUGACCAGGCAGAGGGUGACCAGGCAGCCAAACCCCUACCAGUCGAGGCAGAGGAUAUCCAUCCAGAGGAUAACCAGGCAGAGGAUUAUCAGGUAUGAGAGUCCCUAUUCCAGGUCUUACUCACCAUUUCCUCCUACUUUAAUUUUAUGGUCCAAAGGAAGCACAUCUCUCACAAUACUUCUUCAUUCAUCCCCAUAUCCUCAGGAAACUCCCGCCGCAUAUAUGUCCCAACCCAUAUAUGACACUGCACCACGUUCCACAUUAUCUAACCCCUCCAUAUCUCCUCCUUCCAACCAGCACAAUGUCAUAUAUGACACAGCUCCCAAACAGAGGCUUGAAGAGUUAUAUGAGGUAUUUUUUCCCACAUCGCAGGGACGAUGGAUAAAAUCCGCCUAUUGACAAUACAACUUCUUUUUUUUUCUUCCAUUAUGUUAUCUUACCUACUGUUAUUUCCCCCCUUAGCCAUUACCAGAUGUAUAUAUUUUACCUCCUUCCUCGGCUGUUGUUGUUGAUGAUGAAGGGAAAGAGAUUCCAGUGAGCUCCAAAACCCUGUCCCCCUGUUUUAAAAUUGUAACUUCAUAAGUUAAUCACACUCACUCUUAAUUUAUAUGUGCAGUCCCCCCCACCAAUCAAAGAGGACGUGGUCGCGAUUGAUAAUGAUGUACCUGUCCACGAAACACCUGUUCAGGUAAAAAACAUUCGCCUGUUUAUCCAUAUGGAUUGCAUUUCGUGGACACUGCCAUCUAACCCAAUACUUUGUCAACCUAGUCCAAAGCAGACGCGACUAUUCCCCCGUCCUCAAUUGGCGUUGAUGAUGUGGAUGCCGAGUUGUCGGUCAGUUACUUAAAAAUCCCUCACUUUAUAUUUCCAUUUUUGGUUAUAUAUGUACAUAAUGAUUCACAUUACUGACUCAUGGAUCGUCAACAUAAAUCUUAGACAGCUCUUGUAUUGUAUAAAGGAAACACGCAAGACGCUGAAGUAACGCAAGACGCUGAUGUAGUAUUCGAUAGACUAUUUUAUUAAAUUUCCUUUUUCCAGGUUUGAAGGAAAUGUAAUCCCCUAUUUGUUUUGUUUUUUUCCAGCACAAUGAAGAUUCCCCACCCACUUAUGUUGAAGUCAGUGAUUCAUCUCCUGCUAGGGAGAGGAAACGGGCCAAUUUGUCUGAUGCCGAAUCUGCGCUUGUUGCGUCUUUAUUGCAGAGGCCACAAUACUCCCCAUCCAUGGGGCACGUCCUAUUACCUAGAUUGGAUUAUGCGCUUUUCGAGUACUUUAAGGAAACACUAGAAUCGUCCCCUUCCACGUACGUUUUUCCAGUUUUCUCAGAUAUGGCGUUCUUGACCAUUCAUGUUUUCUAACACGUAUGGCUUAUUUUUUUCAGGGCACAUCUCACUCGCUGCGAUUUCCUAAUUGAUAACAAAUUUAUCCUCAACUUAGCGACCCUUACCCAAUGGGUGUCCACUUUGGUAAUCCCUUAACCUUUUACUUUUGUUGUAUUCGGUUCAAUUCAACUUUCAUUAUAUGUUCAAACCUUUCACAUUGGUUACACGGCACAUGGAGGUCCUUGCAUCUUUCUUACAGCAAAGACAUUCCUAUGUCCUUGAGCACGAGAGGUCUGCAAUACUUCCUCCUUGGCUGGGCAACUAUCUCCAAGGAAAGCAUCGCAGUUUUCGGGCUGCCAAAAACAAGUUACGAGUGCGUUGGGACGCACAAUUUGAAAGAGCUAUCCCCGGCAAUCCUGGCGAGUGGUUCGAGCGUAUCGACAUGAUUUACAUGCCAAUGAUUUGGGAAGAUCGGCAUUGGGUUGGGUUGUCUAUCAGUCUACCCAACUGGUGUGUAUACAUAUUGGACCCCAAUUAUGAAUUAUACGAUAAACGCAAGGUCACCAAUUUCAUAGCUCCAAUUGUAGAAAUGCUGCCAUACAUAAUUAACAAAUUCUGCCAGCCACGCAUGUCCCAGCAAAACGGUUUGUCCAAGUUCAAGUGGCAGAGAUUUGAAGACAUCUAUGUGAACAGACGUUCAGGUGAUUGUGGUCCUGUGGCGAUGAAGUUGUUGGAACUUUACGCUAAUGACAACGGCCCAGAGGAGAUGGCAGAGAUUACCGACUCAAUUGUUGAUGAAUUCAGGGCACAAUACGCCAUGGAUAUAUACACUGAAUUAGUGGCUCCUAUUUAUGCAUCCCCCGCUUGUUAAUGUUGUAUCAAUCUUGUUCCACUUAUUAACAGUACCAUCUUUGUAAACAUUUCUUUAGACUAACAUCUUAUUUAUGCAUCGAUGCUUUAUCUUCUGGAUACUCUAUUAAUUGAAGUUCUUAUCGCUUCUUAAUAGUUUAUCUACUGAAGUUGUAUUUUCGGUCCAUGUUAUAGAAGACAAAUGGUUGGAUUAAGUACACUCUCAAUCAAAAUAAUUCCAAUCAAACAUAUCCACACGGAUACCGGUCAAAGUGCACUCUCAUAGUGGAUGGUUAUGUUAUCCCAUGUGUUUUCAUUGAUAUACAAAAUAAUUCCAUGUGUUUUCUUAAUGUGUUCCCAUGUGUUUUCUUAAUAGUUUAUCUACUGAAGUUGUAUUUUCGGUCCAUGUUAUAGAAGACAAAUGGUUGGAUUAAGUACACUCUCAAUCAAAAUAAUUCCAAUCAAACAUAUCCACACGGAUACCGGAUCAAGUGCACUCUCAUAGUGGAUGGUUAUGUUAUCCCAUGUGUUUUCAUUGGUAUACAUGGUUUUCAUUUUCAUUAUAAAUUUGGAACAUAUCCAAUAUAAUCAUAUCCACACUGAUUCCUGAUUGAGUCCACUCACACAUAAUUUUGUGAGAAACCUAUCUUCUUAAACAAAUCCACACGGAUACCAGUUUAAGUCCAAAGUCCAACUACAUGUUGCUUUAUGUCUUUCCAUAUAAAGGGGAACGCACUCCCUCAGAACUUAUGACCUAUAGCUUCUUGAUUCUUUAGCUAAACGUAAUGGAGGCCAACCUGGUUCGCGAUGUUAGUGUUAUAUAUUCGUAAUUCCAUCUAUAAAAUUUUUAGAUUGUGCCUCACCCUUUCUCUUUCGCAGGUCCACUCCGAUCGAACUAUCCACUUCCCAGCUCCCAUACUAGCAAAGAUCGUCAGCUACGUUUCUAUCGGUGGGGUCGAUUCUCUGAGGAAUUGGAUACACGCUGGCCCAGCAGGCAAAGACGCUGCGUUGUCCCCUGAGUGUCUCUCUGUUGUCCGUCUGGACCAAUCUCCUCACAUUCUAUGGUGGUCUAUGCCACAUUCCAAGUUCUACCUGUUCUUCUGCAAGUGUUUACAGCACAGCAAUCCAUACGCUGUGUACGAUGUUCUUAACAAAGGGGUAGUUUUUGAGAAUUUGACCAGAGAUUUCUACAGAAAUGGUAAAUGGUUAACGUUGUACGGACCUAUCACCAGACUUGGAGCUGUUGAAGAAGACGAGUUUGGAGGUUACGUCUACCACCCACCGAGACUUGGGAGACGUGUUGUCCGGCGGAUCUGCAACCGCUGCAACAAAUCAUGUGCCAACACGUGCCCACGUCCCAACGUUUGAGUUUAGAUGUGUCUAUCCACCUACAAAUAAUAAUAAAGUAAUCUUUUUUGGUAUGGUGGAUACCAAUGUUUUGACAUUGGGUUUUAUUUAUGUACUGUCCCAUCCCGCUGUUUUGGGAUGUUCUCUGUUAGUAAGCAAACGUCGUAUUGCCCAGCGAAUUUUCCUGAGGUACUUUUCUGUACCGUCCUUAUUAACUGUUGAGUUUUUGUGUUUGCAAACCUUUGUUGUGUAAUCAACAUACUACUUUACCCACAGCUCCACGUAUACCACACUAGUUUCACGUACCAUCCUUUCAACCUGACAUUCCUCCAAUUUUAAACUGUAUAUUCUACUCCAUUAAUAAAUGGUGGGGACUCUAAUUUGUGAGGGGCUUUUGUCCAAUAUUAGCUAAUUCAGUAAUGAUGGUACUUAAUUCUUCUACCUGCCAUCUUUCCCGCUUUGUUGUUAGGUUAAAGGGAUGCCUAGGUUAAAUGUCAUUUUAUAAACAGUUUGACCAGAGCUUAUGAACCUAACAACAUAUACAAUCCUUAACAUAAACGCAGCUAACACCCAUCUGUUCCUCUUCAAUGGAUCAACGUCAACCCGAAGGCACUUCUUUGGAGGUACAUUAUGUCCACACAGACUUAUCCUCUUUUGUUUUUGUUUUAUUGUUUUAAUUUCCCUAUCCUCGCACGUCUGUCCAUCGAGUCAUAUCCACAUCCCCGCUCCCCUGCUAGCGAAGAUUGUAUCCAUUGUGGCUGAAGACGGUGUUGACUCACUCAAGAGCUGGAUCAAAGCAGGUCCACUGGGUAAGGAAGCUGUCUUCUCUUCCGAAACACUUUCCACUGUUCGUCUUGACAAAUCUCCCGAUUUGCUUUGGUGGUCCAUGCCACACUCCAAAUAUCACAGCUUCUACUACAAAUGUUUAGCUGAGAACAACCCUUACGCGAAUUGGGCUGACCUCAACAAAGCUUUUUCGUUUGAAACUUUAAUAGAGCAGUACUACAGAACUGGAAGAUGGGCACCUGCGUUACCUGACCACCACCCGGCGGAGAACUUCUUACUACCACCUACGAUGCAGUUGAGAGUCGGAAGACCUCGCUGCCCACGUUGCAGGAGACCAUCCCAUCACCCUUCCACAUGUCGCCAUGGUUAGACUGUGUAGUUAACUAUCAGCUGGAUGCCCCCAUAUAUUUCCAUGCUUCCAUGUGUCUCCAUUUAAUCGGCUCGAUGUUUUAUCCCAUUUCUUUUUUUUUUUCAUUCUACCUCCAUGUGUUCUAUCUUCAUUUUCUCUCUAUUGUUAUUUUACCGUGGAUUUGAGAUAUCUAUAAUUUAUGUUUUUCUGUGAUUUUCAGUCCAUGUUUUGGAAUCUCUUUCCUUCCGGUGACUCUAUCUAUAUUUUCAAUCCAUCUUUCUGUUCUAUCUUCGAUACCAGUUCAAGUACAUUCAGACAUAUCCACAUGGAUAGCCUCUAAAUAACCCAAUCUCCACACAAAAAUUUCCACAUGUAAUCCAUUCAUUUUUUUGUUGAAUACCUAUAAAAGUCUGAAUAUCCACCUGGAUAUAGUCUCCUAACCGACUAAAAAUGUAAUCCAAUGCUGGUUUUGUAAUUUUCCCAACUAUAUGUGAUUUUUAGCUGGUUUGUGGACGGACAACCUUCUUACUGGUUUGUGGUUGCAUACUAUAUCCACACAUACAUAUCCACAGGGAUUCGAUCAGAUUCACACAUACGACUUCUAUAUCUCACAUGUUUGUUUAGGACAUCUGUUUUAUACGCCAACGUUGGUGUUCAUGAAACACAAUCUUGCAGGGACUAAGGAAAACACAAUCUUGCAGGGACUAAGGAAAACAAUACAUUAUGAAAACAAACACCCAUAGAUAACGCAUACACUUUUACGAAACCAACAUGAUAUCCCUUGCCAAAUAGAAGAGAAUGCAGUCCAUACACCUCUCACCGUUACACUCCCCAAGCAUAUCAUGCUCCUCCCAACAGUGUGGGAAAUCAUCAACAUGCCACGUUUCGGAAUAUGUACCCCACCGUCGAGGUCCAACCAUGUAAAUGUGGUACAUCAACGAGUUCGCCAUUCGUGAUAGCGCUUCAAAACUAUAUUUCUUCUUAAGCGCGUAGUAGUCAUCACUCUUAAGUGUCCCCGCACAGCUUAGCAACAUGUGAUACGCCAGAUUAGCCACACCGUAUACAUCCUUGACACGUUCCAAUGUUACGAGUGACUCGUUUAGAUCACAAGUCCUAAAUCCUAGCAGCAGGCCUUUCACAUACAGCGCGUACGGAUUCCCAGCAUUUAGACACCACCCGAAGAAAUCGAAUAAUCUGCUGCUCGGUCGCCACCAUCGAACAAAAUCGUAACUCCGAUCUAACCGGACAGGAAACAACGUCUCUUGCGAGAGUACAGCGAUCUUCCCCUCCUUCCCAGUCCGGAUCCAGCUUGCGAGUUCUUCUAUCCCCUCUUCUGCCACAUAGCUAACGAUCUUCGCUAGUAUUGGAGCUGGGAUGUGGACAUUAGGAACAAUACCUUCCUGCAUCCCACACAUGACAAUCAGACGUUACAUUAAUACACAUAACAAUAAUACUCGUCAAAAAUUGGAUUUUUUUUGUGGAUAGACAAUUACAAUUACCUUCCCUGCAACCGCCGCACCACUACUCUCGCCAACCGUUACAGGACGUUCUCGGCGAACAAGAGAACUGCGUCCGUAGAAAUGUCUUGACGCAGUUAUCCUAUGUGGAUCUGCCAUCUCACCCUCGUCACUCUCAUAUCCGUGAUCUGGUUCCAUUUCAAUACGGUAGUAGUUUUUCUCUUCUCACGAACAUGUCCCUUAUUUAUUGCAGCUUAAACCUAACACCUAUAGGUCUGUGGGAUUUCCAACGCUUGUUUGGAGGGAAUACUCCCGCCUAAACUUCCUGCCCUACUUUUUCCGCAACCACCAACAUUGGUUCAUACAUCUACCCACCGGUCAUCUCUUUUUCCAAAGCACUUCAGUGUUACAUAAAUCUGUUCUAUUUAUCAGUACAUGUGGACAAUGCCCUGUGGACAAGUUAUAAUAGACAAAUAACUAUAUCCAUAUGAAGAUGUGCGAAGCCAUUAGUAAACCAGAUCCUAAUCACGCUUACUGUUUGUUAAACAUGAGAAAGUAAAUGACAUAAUUCAUAAGGUGUUUCAUUAUGGAUAAUGCAUAGUAAAUGACAUAAUCCAUAGUGCCUCCCAUUUACACUUAUACUAAUCACGCUUACUGUUUGUUAAACAUGAGAAAGUAAAGGGAAUUCUUUUGAUUAACUCCACUAAGACAAAAUUUUAAGUUCGAAGCCAUGUGGAUACCUUUGACCUUUACUUCAUAAGUUAGGUAGCUAUUUGGCACAUGUACAAUCCCAUGAGAUUUUAUUGGUUGUUAAACAUGACAACACUCGUCGAAAGAUAAUGGGCUCACAUUUUAGCCUAAUUAAUAUAGACAUUAAUAUACUGAACACACAUAUCCUUGAACAUAUCCUUAACCGCUUGGCUACAGCCCAAAAAAUUACCAAUGUAACUUAUCCCCCAUUACAACCUAAACCAUCGGCUUUUUGUCUUUCACAAAAAAAUACCAGACUAACCGAAAACCCCAUUACAACUGUGUGGCCUGACAAUGUAGUCCAAAAAAUUUCAUCACACAUAUCCGUUAAUUGUUUAGCUUAACCAAAACACCCAUUACAUCAAAAACCUCCCGGGUGUCGACUUUUCCAUCAUCCAUAACUCUCUUCAGAUGGGGUUGUUACACCUAGUCCUAUUGUGCCCAGUCCCUUUGCACCUCGAACAUCUCUGAAUUUUCGCCGGAGCUGUCGAAGAUUUCUAUUCAAACAAACAAUAACUCAAUGUCAAACCAUCACAACCAUCAAAUAUAGAUAAUGGCAAACCAUCACAACCAUCAAUGUCAAACGUGCCAAACAUUGUAAAGAUUCAAAUAUCUUACUGGGAUUUCUCCAAUGGACGGUAUCCUCGAUUGUUUAGGCCUCCCGGAUGGCCUCCGUGCAUUAGGUGGCAGCAGCUCCCUAUAGACAAUCUCGUCAGACAACUCUAUGUUGGAUGCAUCAAACUCUGGGGUAAUGACCCCUGCAUAAGUAGCUGCCCAUGUAGUUGUUUUGUAAAACUCCCCUACCAGUGUAGCAUGAGGAAUCCCUUGAGUAUUUGCUGCCAACAUCGCAUGGCCACAUGGGAUUUUGUCUUUGUCAUAUUUUUUGCACGUGCACUUCUUCAAAUCCAGCAAAACAUGAUGCUUCCCACCGAACAACCCUACCACUUCAUAACUCCAGCUACUUAUAGUACCAACCUUGCUACUCUUUACCUCCACCAUACGCUUUGUCAUCUGUUUAUCUACCUCGGGUGUCACCAAACCCUUAUGCUUCCCAGCCUUCUUCCUACGAGCACUAAACCAGCGAGUAAGCAUAGCACGGAUGAAUUUCAGAAGCUCCACUAUUGGCGAAGCCCUUCCUUUCCACAAAGCCUUGUUCAAAGUCUCUGCGAUGUUGCUAGUCAUAAGGUUAUAACGUUCUCCUUGGAAAUAUGCCCGUGACCAAUGAGCAGCCCCAAUUUUGUCCAAGUACUUAGCACAUUCCAUGUUUUUCGCCCUUAUAUUUUUGUAUAACACCCUGAACGCACCAACUGUGUAAGCAUAACCAGCGUUGCUAACCAUCUUCGCCAAACCUUUGCUAUGGAAUCUAGCAUUAACAUUCCUAGCCAAGUGAACUAUACAAGCUCCAUGCUUAGCUUUUGGGAAAACACUUCUCUUAGCCGUGUAUAUAGACUGGUUAUGAUCUGAAAUUAUCGUUAGCGUAUCACUGUCAGCAAUAAUCCUCUCUACCUUCUGGAAAAACAAUGUCCAAGCUUCAUCAUUCUCGCUAUCCACAAUUGCGAACGCUAGGGGGAACACUUGGAAGUUAGCAUCCUGUCCACUUGCUGUCAACAAUACUCCCUUAUAUUUCCCGAUCAAAUGUGUCCCAUCCACAACUAGCACUCGCCGUAGAUGCCUAAAACCUUGGAUUGACGCACCAAAUGCUAGAAACAUAUACAAGAAUCGCUCUUUUCCAUCAUCUCCAACUACAGUUUUAAUGUCAGUCACGGUGCCAGGAUUUCCAAGCUUCAAUGCGUGCAAAUAAUCAGCAAGUUUGUCAUACUAUUCUUCCUCUGUCCCAAACAAAUUCCCCUGGGCCUUCUCCCGCGCUCUCCAACAUUUGCUGUAAGAUGCAUCAACCUUAAGCUCUUCCAAUACUAGCUGUUGCAAAUCCAUUGGUACAAGCCCCUUUGAGGGAUCACUGUAUUUAGCUUUAUAAACAGCUGCUAUUACUCUCGAUGUUGCCUUCUUCUUGUACUCAUUUCUUGUUUCCACGGGGCAAGUGUGUUCAAGUGAAGCUUUCCUUAUUUCAUAAUAACCACUGUUUCUCAACUCACAACACAACAUCCUCCAAUCACAUCUUUCAUCCACCCAGUUUAGCACAAAACAAUCCUUCCUGGUUCUCGUUUGUCUGAAAUGGAACAUUUUUUUAUCGCAUAUAUAGCUAUCCCUAUUUGGCAAUCCUCCUUACUUGCGAAUACUUUGCCCUUGUAUAUCCCUCUCUCGUCAUCAUCCCAAUCAAGAUCCGGUAUCGCUUCCCUCACAUACUCUGUAUCAUCAAACAAUGGUGGAAUAUCAAAUUCCUCAUCAUCUAUCUCCUCUAACUUACGUUUCUCUGCAGGACGUGUCGUCCUCUGCCCAUUACUUUCACCAAGCGGAUCACCUAACCCCCCUCUUUGUGGAUAUCGAACAGCCCCCUUAACAUCUUCCUCCUUUUUCAAGUUCACACUUUCAUCAAAAGGGUCAUGUGAGCUCCACAUUACCUCAACUGGGUUGGUCCGACCAAAAUCAUCUCCAAUGAAAUUUCCCCAGAACUCUCUAUCAUAACCUUUAGGAGACACCACAACAUCAGUUUCUUCUGGUUCCACCCCCUCCAUUUCACCCCAUUCACCUUCCGCUUCCAAACUUCCACCACCAGUCUCCCCACCUUCCUUCGUUUCUCUCACCACCUCGUCAACAUCAUCUAGUAGAUCUGCAUCAGAUUGCGUAGUAAUGAUUUCAGGUGGUUUUGAAGCAGGUGUAGACGUACCAGGAGUAGACGAUGUCAGGAAAAUAUCUUCCAAAUCAUUCUCGCUUCCACCUGAACUCUUACCAGAAGAGUAACUCCCGCAUCCUCUCUUCACGCCACCCUCACACUCUGCUUUCCCGGUUGCUAUUUCCACACCUCUUUUUCUGUAUUCCCCAAACUUAACAAACAUGUUCAAGCACUUGUUUGAGCGGAACAGACUAUUGAAAUACUCCAAACCACUGGGGGUAGUGACCAGCACUGGAGGAGUUCUCGCCCCUGUCGUGAACUCCAUACUAUUGGGUGGACAGAAGCUGAAACUAGCCUUUUUCACCCCGACGUUAAACUCCGACACGACAGCAUCUUCAAAGUCUCCCAGAGACAUAUCCUCCGACACCGGCACCGCUCUCGAAACCAAAUACUUGUCCACUUCAAACCUCCAAAUCCCAUCCAAGCAAAGAGACCACUCUCCACACAGAACGAUACAAUGUCCAUCGAAACCAACCUAAUCCACAAAAACAUAGCAUAGUUAGUUUUCAAAAGUUUCGAAUCCACCCAACUCCAUAACAAAAUUGGGAAUCAUGUAUCCACGCAAAAAACCUUUGAAUCAGACAUGUCGGCUGUUCGGGAGCAUUCACAAAAUACAAUUUACUUCUUUUCCUUAUCCACACAACAUCAUAACCUUAAAAAAAUUGGUUCCCAAAUAUCAGCCGCACGAUCUAUGUCAACUACAGUUUAUAACUGACGGUUCAGAUCUAUUUUAAAGGAACUUCUUUAGUUAGUAUCUAGUUAACGCUCUUUUUUAUGUCCUCCAACAUGUGAGGUUAUUAUCGUCCAUAAACGUAGUCUACAGUGCCAAAAACAUUGAAAAACGGCGCCUCAUCCCAAAAGGGUGUCAUAUUGUAACAAAACAUAGACAAACGGUGCUAUCAAGCAACCUUCCCAAUAAAGAAUUGAUGAUGAUUUUGAUUGUUCUUCUCAAUUUUAUUGCGCGAGAUGAAGAGCGAUUGUAAGUCAGAGUGAUGACGUUUGAAGAAAACUAGAGAAUCGGAAAAAGGAAAAUCAUUCCAUUUUUACUGCUCUCACUUUUUUCUCUUUGUGUACGAUUUUUCAGAUCUAGUUUUGUUUCUUUAUUGUUUUGCCCAGAUCUUCAUUGUGGCUUGACUUUUCAGAAGAGAAAGGGCAACAAGAGUGAACUUUCCAUUCAUUCCCAUCAGCGUAGAGGUGGGGUUCCGACAAACAAUGCAGCUGUGACAUGGCUGAGGAUCCCUGAUUUAGGUAUCUCCCGUUGAAAACUACCGAGGUUUUAUGUAUUUUAUAAACCAUAUUAAAGUUUAUAAUUUUCAUUAUUUAAAAGGGGUAUCUUUGAAAAUAGAUAGAAAAUGGCGUAUUUUUUAAAAAAUGUACACCAAAAGGGGCAUUCUCAAAAAUUCUCAAACAAAAUUAUUGUAAAAACCUCUAUAUAUUAGUAUUCAAUAAACUAAUAAUCACUAAUAAAAUUUUUCCCGUUUCAAAUUAGGUCAAUAUAAUUUUGUAUCUCUUUGUAUACUUGGAUUCCACGUCAGCAUGACUUAUGCACACUUGGAUUCCACAUCAGCAUGACUGCUGAACACAUUGAUGCCACAUCAUCGUUAAUUAAACAUUUAUCACGUUUUUGUAUGUUUAGGUACAAAAACUAAACUUUAUGUUUGAAAUUGAAAUUAUUUAAAAGUGCAUGUAUGUUAUAGCACAUGCGAUAGUUCAAUGUAUAAAUUCAACACCGUGUAAUUGUGCCAUACAUAGAUAUAAGUUAAGAUACAAAUAUAAUAUUACCAUUAAUGAGAAAUUGUAUUUUGUUUUAUAAAUACAAUUAUUCCAUUGGCAAUACAUGUAGUUAAAUUUUCCUAUUUUUGUCUUCAACUUACAACCGUCUUUCGACUAUUUUUGCCUGUUUGUUUGCUUGUGACCAGUGACAGUGACAUCGAUUAGUGACAGCGACCAAAACAUGUUCAUUUGCCUGUCGAUGAUCCCGCGACAGUCGCCAGAGACCAGCUACAGCAAUUUUUAGUCCUAGAAAAUUUCAGCGAUCAUCAGCGAUCAGUCGCUGCAACAUGUCGCUAGAUUAAGCGAUAGGCAAAUGAACAACAUAGCGACUACAAAUCUAAAAAGUGUUUAAUUAAAUUGAUUAAAGUUAAAUAAAUUAAAUUUUGAUCAAAAUUAUUGAAAAUUAAACUAAAUAUAAUAAAUCACAUAAACAAUUUUUUUAAAAAAAUAUUAAUUUAAUGUAAUUUAAUUAUAUUCUAAAUAAAUGAAUUAUAAUUAAAUUAAAUUUAACAAAAUUAAAGUGAAUAAAAUAAAGAGAAAAUUGUGGGUUAUGCCCUGAAUAGUAACAAAACUUUUAAGGAAUGCCAUUUAAAGAAAUCCUUUCUCCCUUACCCCAUUAUCUCUCUCUUCUUCUUCAUCUUCAUCUUCAUCUUUUUUUUUUAAUUAUUUCAACAACACACAGUACUGACGGAUUUCAACAACACACAGUACUAACGGACCAGAUCCGACGGCCGAACUCCGAUGGACCAGAUCCGGCGGACCAUAGCCAAUUCCGGUGAACUAUAACCAGCUCCGUAGACCAGUUUCGGCAGACCAGAUUCGACGGACCAGUUCCGACAGACCAUAACUCCAGCAGACGAGUUCCGGCAGACCACAGUCAGUUCCGGCAGACCACAGUCCGGGGGACAAAUUCCUAGGGACCAGAUCCGACAAACCAGUUCCGACAGACGAGAUCCGAUGGACCAGAUCUAAUGGACCCGAAUCGGUAGACCAAGCUUGUCUAUCCUACAGUUCUCUUGAAACCACAAAUAAUUGAGUAGAAUAUGAAACAAGUGAUGCAUCUAUGGAAGAUAUCCAUCAACGAUCUAUCUAGGUGUACACUUUGGAUCACACAUUUGUGCGUAGAUGGACUAGAUCCAGUGGACUAGAUCCGAUGUCCAGAUCCGAUGUCUGUAAUAUGUCCAUUUUUGUUUCCUAAUUUGUUGUCCAUCAUGCGUAUAGAGUAAAGUAAAUCUAGUUUUUCAUAAACGAACUUGUCCACAAUAUAUUUCUUAGAUGAAUAGAAAAGAAAUUGUCCAUAAUCGAGUGUGGACAAAAAUCAAAGAGUGUCGACAAAGAAAAACUUGUCUAUUGCUUAAUGUCCGUAAAAGUCAGCCUUUUUUGUUUUCCUUCCUUCCUAUUUUAGCAAAACUCACUCAACAAUGCUGAGGGCAAAAUUGUCCAAGUUUUCUUCUUUGUGGCAUGUUUUGAAAGACAUUAUUGAUAAUGACACUUCCACAAUUUUGAGUUUUCAAAAUGGCAUAAUACAUAAAAUUCCGUAAAAUAAAACUAAGACAUAAAUUCGUGAUUUGAAAAAAUAUUAUUAAACUAUUUCAUAAUGUAUAUGUAAAUUAUAUUGUAAAUAUUUUUAUAAUGUAUAUGUAAAUUAUUUUUUAUUUGAAAAUACAAAAUAACAAAAAUUAAAGAGAACUUUUGAGAAAUGCCCCUUUUGGUGUAUCCUUUUUUAAAAAUAUCCCCAUUUUCUAUCUAUUUUCAAAAAUACCCCUUUUCAAAUAUGAAAAAUUGCAAACUUUUAUAUACUUUAUAAGGUACAUCUAGAUCAUCAUUACUACUAAGAGAUUCAAUCCAAAUAUUUAUAAAGUUAUAAAAGUUUCUAAACGGCAUUUAUAAGGCUUUUAUAAGGUUUUUAAAAGGUUUACAAAGUUUUUAUAUAGUUUUAAAUGAUUUUUAAAAGGUUUUUAAAAGGUAUUUAAAAAAAUGGUAUUGGAAAAUGGUAUUUAUAUAUACACACAUACAAAAAUAGUUUGUGGAGAAUUUUUGAGAAAUACCCCUUUUGGUGUACCCCUUUUUAAAAAUACCCCUUUUAUCUAUCCAUUAUCAAAAAUACCCCUGUUUAAAUAUGAAAAAUUAUAAUUUUUAUAUGGAUUAUAAGGUACUUCUAUAUAAUAACUACUACUGGGAGAUUCGAUACAAAUAUUUUAUAAUGUUUUAAAAUGUUUUAAAUCGUUUUUACAAGAUUUAUAAGGUUUUUAAAAGGAUUUAUAAGGUUUUUAAAAGGUUUUUAUAAGUUUUUACGGUAUUUAUGAAAGUUAUAUAAAAUUUUAUACACAUACAAAGCUAAUUUUCGUAUAUUUAUAAGCUUACACAUAUAUUUGGAUUGAUUUCAACAUUUUUAGUGGUUAUUUUGAUAAAGUUGGAAAAUAGGGUAUUUUAGAAAAGUGGUAUUUGAAAAGGUUCAUCUUUUUAAAUUCCCUCUAUUUUGUGUGUAUAUAUAUAAGCUUACACAUAUUUUUCUGAUAAAUUUCAAAAUUUUAGUGACUUUUCGAUCAAAUUUGAAAGAGAGAUACUUUUAAAAAAUGAUAUUAGAAAAUAGUAUUUUUGAAAUUCUUCCAAAAUUAAAACAAAAACGACAUUCGCUAGGGACAGAUACGAACAACAUAGCGACAGUCGCCAGCAACAGUUUUUACAGUCGCCAGCGACAGAUCUUACAGUCGCUAGCGAUCAGGCAAACGAACAGGACAGAUGUACUGCACAUUACUUUCCAUUCAUAAAAAUAAAUAGUUAUCAUUUAUUAUUGCAGUUCUCCCGUCAAAAUUCUGCAGGUAGGAUAAAAAAUAAAAUAUUUUUAUUUUAUAGUCAUGAUUUUAACUGAUAAAGGAGUGCAGAACAAACACAGCUAUUUUAAAGUGUUUAAUAUAUGAUCUGCACUUGAACUGCCAGAUCUGCUCAAUCUACUUUUAUUCUGCUAGAUCUGUUUAAUACGCCUGAUCUGCUCUGCUUGUUAUGCUUUCUCCUUUCGAAGCCUUAAGAGAGCGAACUAACGUAGAUUACUUAUUUAUAUAUUACUUACCCGAAUCUACUUAACUAAAAAUUUAACUUGAUUUAGUUAAUGAAAAAUAAAGCAUGAUUUACAUUUUACAACACUAGAUUUUGAUACAAAACUUAUAAUAAAUAAUUCAAUAGUAUCGGAUAGUACGUAAAUUUAAAAUUUGUUACAUGAUUGAACGAUACCCUUAAACACCAUUACUAAUCAAAUAAAUACAACUUUUGAAUGUACGACUACGUUAGAACAAUAAAAACAAAAGUUAACAAGCAUCACUCAAGUUUUAUCAACACUCACAAGUUACAAGUCUCUUCUUGACCAAUAUUUACUAGUAUAUAUCUUCCAAAACACAGUGACUUGCUAAUUACUCAACAGAAUGUUCAACGUAUAACCACUCGAACCUAUCAGAUUAGAUAACCGGUUUAAUGGUUUAGUAAAUUAACUUGUAUAGAUGCUGUAUAGUAAUAGUAUAUAUACGUUGUACAGUUGAUCAUUUUACAAUUAAUGAGAAUAAACAGAUUAAUAUCUCUAACAAACUUUUCUCAUCUCUCUCAAUCUCAUGAACGCUAACAUGGUAUCAGAGCCAUCAAUGGUGAUUUCUACGUAAUUCCGAUCAGAUUUCGUCGUUUUUGAGCUCGAUUCUUUGUUUCCGCCGAUUGUUUUGAAGAUCCGAUGGUGUCUGUUGCUCGUGGUAUACGGAAAUCGACUCGAUCGAAGUCCUCGACGAGUUCCGCCGUUCGCAAGCAAUCACAGUCCACCGGAAAUGUUGAAUCACCUCCGGAUUCUCCUCCAGUUGCACCGUCUCGUGCUUCUAGAGCUUCGCGAGGUUCUCUCUCUCUUGGAUCUGAAGAUCCGACGCAGUCUCCGUUCUUUAUGCAUAGCGCUGAUCAUCCAGGUUUAAACAUCAUCUCUCAUCGUUUAGAAGAAACGAAUUAUGGUGACUGGAGUGUUGCUAUGCGUGUUUCUCUUGAUGCUAAGAAUAAGAUCGGGUUUAUAGAUGGAUCUUUACCUCGUCCGUUGGAAUCGGAUAGUAAUUUUCGUCUAUGGUCUCGAUGUAACAGUAUGGUGAAGUCCUGGCUCUUGAAUUCUGUAUGUCCUCAGAUAUAUCGUAGCAUUUUACGUAUUGAGAAUGCUUCUGAUAUAUGGCGUGAUCUCCAUAGUCGAUUUCACAUGACUAAUCUCCCACGCACAUACAAUCUCACUCAAGAACUUCAGGAUUUUCGUCAAGGAUCUUUAUCUCUCUCUGAAUAUUAUACUCGCUUGAAGACUUUAUGGGAUCAGUUGGAUAGUGCAGAGGAGAUCAAUGAUCCUUGUACUUGUGGAAAAGCUGCUCGUCUGCAACAGAAGGCAGAGAGAGCUAAGAUAGUAAAAUUCCUAGCUGGAUUGAAUGAGUCUUAUGCUAUCAUUCGCAGACAGAUUAUUGCUAAGAAAGUUCUUCCUAGUUUAGCUGAGGUGUAUAACAUUUUGGAUCAAGAUAACAGUCAACAAGGGUUCUCAAAUGUUAUUGCUCCACCUACAGUUUUUCAAGUCUCUGAGAGUGUUCCUGCCAGCUCUGUUUUUGUUUCUAACCCUGCAGAUCAAACCAUAUGCUAUGUUCAGAAUGGUCCUAAUAAAGGAAGGCCAAUUUGUUCAUUUUGCAAUCGUGUUGGUCAUAUUGCAGAAAGAUGUUACAAGAAACAUGGCUUUCCCCCUGGUUUCACUCCUGCUACAAAGAAACAGUCUACUGAGAAGAAUCAGAAAUCUCAACCUCUGGCUGCUCAAGUUGCUAUGAUGCCUACAGAACCUGAUAGUUUGGAAUCUAUGAUUGGGAACAUGAAUAAAGACCAGCUCAAACAGUUCAUUGCUAUGUUCAGUUCUCAGCUUCAGUUUCAACCAAACAAUACCACAGCUGUAGCUUCUACUUCCAAUUCCACUAAUACUGGUAUUUCUUUCUCUCCAUCUACCUAUUGUUUUGUUGGAAUCUUGACUGUUGCCAAUAAGACUCUAUCCUCACAAUCAUGGGUGAUAGAUUCUGGGGCUACACAUCAUGUUUGCCAUGAUAAGAGUCUCUUCUUGAUGAUUGAUCCGAAUCUUGUGAGUUCAGUAAACUUACCUACAGGAUCUACAGUCAAGAUUAGUGGUGUUGGCACUGUUAAGAUCAAUGACAACAUUCUUCUCAAGAAUGUGUUGUUCAUUCCAGAAUUUAGAUUGAAUCUCCUGAGUAUUAGCUCUCUCACUGAUGAUCUUGGUUCUCGUGUAAUAUUUGAUCCGUCUACUUGUGAAAUUCAGGAUCCUAUCAGGGGAAUGAGCAUUGGGAGAGGUAGGAGAGUGUCAAAUCUAUAUGUGUUGGACAUUGAAGAAACACCAGUCUCAGUGAAUGCAGUUGUGGAUAUCAGUUUAUGGCAUAGAAGACUUGGUCAUGCUUCUUUACAGAGAUUGGAUGUCAUUUCUGAGUCUUUAGGAACUACCAAGCAUAAGAAUAAAGGAACAGAUUUUUGUCAUGUCUGUCACUUAGCUAAGCAGAGGAAGUUGUCUUUUCCUUCUCCAAAUAACAUUUGUAAUGAAACCUUUGACAUGUUGCAUAUUGAUAUUUGGGGACCUUUCUCUGUGGAAACAUUUGAUGACCAUUCAAGAGCAACAUGGAUUUACUUGUUAAGGAAUAAGUCAGAAGUCCUCACAGUAUUUCCAGCUUUUAUUCAACAAGUUGAGACUCAGUAUAAUAAGAAGGUAAAAGCAGUGAGAUCAGAUAAUGCUCCUGAGUUGAGUUUUACAAGCUUCUAUCAACAAAAAGGGAUUAUGUCUUUCCAUUCCUGUCCAGAAACUCCUGAGCAGAAUUCAGUAGUGGAGAGGAAGCAUCAACAUAUUCUGAAUGUUGCUAGAGCAUUGAUGUUCCAAUCUCAGGUUCCUUUGUCUUUUUGGGGUGAUUGUGUGUUGACUGCAGUCUUUCUCAUCAACAGAACACCAUCACCGCUUCUUGCUAACAAGGCACCAUAUGAGAUUCUCACUGGUACACCUCCUAAGUAUGAUCAGAUCAGAACGUUUGGAUGUCUUUGUUACAGUUCAACAUCACCAAAACAGAGACACAAAUUUCAACCACGAUCAAGAUCAUGUGUGUUUUUGGGCUAUCCAGCUGGUUACAAAGGGUAUAAGUUGAUGGAUUUGGAGAGUAACAAAGUUUUUGUAUCCAGGAAUGUGAUUUUUCAUGAAGAUGAGUUUCCAUUGGCCACAUCUCAACAGUCUGAGGCAUCUCUGGAAUUUUUCACACCAAUGGUUCCUGUGCAUACAACUGAACAGCAAACUCCUCUUCCUUCUUUUCAUCCCUCACAAAUUUCUGAUAUAUCACUACCCAUUUCUUCACAAAGAAUUCGGAAACCUCCUGCUCAUUUGUCUGAUUAUCAUUGCAAUUCUAUGCAAUCUCUUUUCAAAUAUCCUAUUUCAUCUACUCUUUCUUACUCUAAAAUUUCUCCUUCUCAUUUGUGUUAUAUCAAUAAUAUCACAAAGAUUCAUAUUCCAAAUUCAUAUGCUGAAGCACAGGGCACCAAAGAAUGGUGUGAGGCAGUUGAUGCAGAGAUUGGUGCAAUGGAAUCCACUAAUACAUGGGAAGUGACAACAUUACCACACGGGAAGAAAGCAGUAGGUUGUAAAUGGGUGUUUACUGUGAAGUUUUUGGCAGAUGGUACACUUGAGAGAUAUAAAGCAAGGUUAGUGGCUAAAGGUUAUACUCAGAAAGAAGGUUUAGAUUAUACUGAAACCUUUUCUCCUGUCGCUAAAAUGGCCACUAUCAAGCUAUUGCUCAAAGUAUCAGCUUCUAAGAAAUGGUUUCUGAAACAAUUGGAUGUAUCGAAUGCAUUUUUGAAUGGAGAAUUGGAUGAAGAAAUCUUCAUGAAGUUGCCUGAAGGAUAUGCAGAUCGAAAAGGCAUUGUUUUACCACCUAAUUCAGUUUGCAGGUUGAAAAGGUCCAUUUAUGGCCUGAAACAGGCUUCAAGACAAUGGUUCAAGAAGUUUUCAACCUCCUUAUUGAAUUUGGGUUUUCAGAAGACUCAUGGAGAUCAUACACUCUUUCUUCGCAGUUAUGAUGGUGAUUUUGUGGUUGUUUUAGUGUAUGUCGAUGACAUAGUCAUUGCAAGUACGAGUGAAGUUGCUGCAGCCAAGCUCACUUCUGACUUGCAGGCUCAGUUUAAACUUCGUAAUCUUGGGGAUUUGAAGUAUUUCCUCGGCUUGGAGAUUGCUCGUACUGCUGCAGGUAUUUCUUUAUGUCAGCGGAAAUAUGCUUUGGAAUUGCUUACUUCCACUGGCAUGCUUCAUUGUCAACCUGCUUCUACACCUAUGGUUCCAAAUCUGAGAAUGAUGAAGGGUGAUGGUGAUUUACUUGAAGACAGAGAAAUGUAUCGUCGCAUUGUUGGAAAAUUGAUGUAUUUGACCAUCACCAGACCAGAUUUGAGCUUUGCUGUUAACAAGUUGUGCCAAUUUUCUGCUGCUCCACGUACAACUCAGUUGAUUGGUGUUUAUCGUGUCUUGCAGUACAUCAAAGGCACUGUAGGUCAAGGUCUAUUCUACUCUGCUUCUCCUGAUCUUACUUUGAAAGGAUUUGCAGAUGCAGAUUGGGCAUCAUGUCCUGAUAGUCGUCGCUCCACUACUGGUUUCACCAUGUUUGUUGGUGAUUCCCUUAUCUCUUGGCGCUCCAAGAAGCAAACAACAGUUUCUCGCUCUUCUGCAGAAGCUGAAUACAGAGCUCUUGCUCUGGCUACUUGUGAGGUCAUUUGGUUACAGACUUUGCUAAAAUCCUUGCAAGUCUCAUCUGCUGUUCCUAUACUCUUCUCAGAUAGUACAACAGCCAUACACAUUGCUACCAAUCCUGUAUUUCACGAGAGAACGAAACAUAUUGACAUUGACUGUCAUACAGUCCGGGAUCGGUUAGACAAUGGCGAGCUUCGACUACUUCAUGUUCGCACAGAUGAUCAGAUUGCUGACAUCUUAACUAAACCAUUGUUCCCUCAUCAGUUUGAAUAUCUGAAGUCCAAGAUGAACAUCCUUAACAUUUUUGGAGUGUCAUCUUGAGGGGGCCUAUCAGAUUAGAUAACCGGUUUAAUGGUUUAGUAAAUUAACUUGUAUAGAUGCUGUAUAGUAAUAGUAUAUAUACGUUGUACAGUUGAUCAUUUUACAAUUAAUGAGAAUAAACAGAUUAAUAUCUCUAACAAACUUUUCUCAUCUCUCUCAAUCUCAUGAACGCUAACAGAACCCACCGCAGGGUUAGGUUAUCAAGAGAUUAUUAAAGAGCCACAACUUGGAUAGGUUUCUUAAGCACCAAGAGAGAAAGAUAAGAGUGAGUUAGAGUACGUGAGAAUGGCUUUUGCAGAGAAGAACCCUUCUUAUAAUCUUCGUUUUCUUUUGAUCAUAUGCAUAGUUUUGAGCUGUUCUAUCGCAGCUUCUGCAACUAUCGCAGAAGCAAAUGCUCUUCUAAAAUGGAAAUCUACUUUCAAGAACCAGAGACCCUCAUCAAAGUUGUCUUCGUGGGUCAAUGGAAACACCAAUACAAGCUUUUUCUGCACCAAUUGGUAUGGUGUUUCCUGCAACUCACGAGGGAGUAUCGAAAAGUUAAACCUCACUGACAACGCUAUAGAAGGUACUUUCCAAGAUUUCCCUUUUUCGUCUCUCCCAAACCUUGCUUACAUUGAUCUUAGCAUGAACAGUUUCUCUGGAUCUAUCCCUCCUCAAUUCAGAAACAUCUCCAAGCUAAUCUACUUUAACCUCUCCACAAACUACUUAACCGGAUCGAUUCCAUUUGAGAUCGGUCUCUUAACCUCAGUUCAAGAUAUCGACUUGUCUAACAAUUCCCUAUCUGGACCAAUACCCUCUUCCAUUGGAAAUCUAAACAACUUGGUAAAACUGCACCUCUUUUCCAAUUCUUUCUCGGGUCCACUUCCUUCUGAGAUUGGAAACUUACCCAACCUUGUUGUUCUAGGUCUUAGUAGAAACAACCUGUCUAAGUCAAUACCCUCUUCCAUUGGAAAUCUCACCAAUUUGGUAAAGGUUUAUCUUCAUACCAAUUCUUUCUCGGGUCCACUUCCUUUUGAGAUUGGAAACUUACCCAACCUUGUUAAGCUAGAUCUUAGUACAAACAACCUGACUGGACCAAUACCCUCCUCCAUUGGAAAUCUAACCAACUUGGUAAAACUGCACCUCUUUUCCAAUUCUUUCUCGGGUACACUUCCUUACGAGAUUGGAAACUUACCCAAACUUGUUGAGAUAGGUCUUUACAGAAACAACCUGUCUGGACCAAUACCCUCUUCCAUUGGAAAUCUAACCAACUUAGUAAAAUUGUACCUCUAUACCAAUUCAUUCUCGGGUUCAAUUCCUUCUUCCUUAGGAAACCUGAAGAACUUAACAGGUCUUUAUCUUGAUAUGAAUUAUCUAAGUGGUUUCAUUCCCGUGGAACUAGGAAACAUGGAAUCCAUGAUUCAGUUGGCGAUAAGUCAGAACAAUCUUAUAGGUUAUGUUCCUAAUUCCUUUGGAAACUUUACCAACCUGGAAUUGUUGUGCCUUAGUGAUAACCACCUCUCUGGUCUUAUUCCACUAGGAGUAUCAAACUCUUCAAAGUUGACUAUCUUGCAACUCGGUAGAAACAACUUCACUGGUUUCUUGCCUGGAAACAUUUGUGAAGGUGGGAAGCUUCAAUAUCUCUCAUUAGAUGAUAAUCACCUCGAAGGUCCUAUACCAAAAAGUUUGAAAAAUUGUCAGAGCUUGAUUAGAGCAAGAUUCAUAGGGAACAUAUUCAUUGGAGAUAUUUCUGAAGCUUUUGGUGUUUACCCACAUCUUGAUUUCAUUGAUCUUAGUCACAACAAAUUCCAUGGUGAGAUUUCAGGCAACUGGGAGAAGAGUCGAAAACUAGGUGCCUUGAUCAUGUCAAACAACAACAUCACAGGUGUUAUCCCACCAGAGACUUGGAACAUGACACAACUAGUUGAGUUGGAUCUGUCUACCAACAACCUAAUUGGUGAGCUUCCAGAAUCAAUUGGAAAACUCACAGGUUUGUCAAAGCUACUACUUAAUGGGAAUCAGCUAUCUGGAAGAGUUCCCGCAAGGUUGAGUGUCUUAACCAUGCUUGAGUAUCUGGACUUAUCUUCAAACAAUUUUAGUCAGAUCCCACAAACCUUUGAUUCAUUUUUAAAGCUUCAUGACAUGAACCUGAGCAGGAACAUGUUCAACGGAUGCAUUCCCCGACUAACAAAACUUACUCAGUUAAAUCAUCUUGAUCUCAGCUACAACCAGCUAGAUGGAGAAAUCCCAUCACAACUCAGCUCCUUACAGAGCCUUAACAAGCUCGACCUGUCACACAACAAUCUUUCCGGUAUCAUUCCCACAAGUUUUCAGGGCAUGAAAGGGCUGACAUAUAUCGAUAUAUCAAACAAUAAACUCGAGGGUCUGCUACCAGAAAAUCCCGCGUUUGAAAACGCAACAGCAGAUUCACUGGAGGGAAACAUAGGCUUAUGCAGUAAUAUUCCUAGACAAAGGUUGAAAUCAUGCCCUAUCACUUCCCCCGGGUUCAAGAAAAAGAAGAAUGGCAACCUUAUUGUUUGGAUACUAGUGUCGAUCCUAGGGGCACUCGUCAUUCUCUCUAUAUGUGCAGGUAUAUUUACCUACUACCUUCGAAAACGAAAAAAACACAUUGGAAAUAACAACUCAUAUGCUGAUAGUGGACAGACUCUGUCCAUCUUUUGCUACGAUGGCAAAGUCAAAUACCAAGAUAUCAUCCAAUCCACAAAUGAAUUUGAUCCAAAAUACGUGAUCGGAAUCGGAGGAUACGGCAAAGUCUACAAAGCAAACCUCCCAGGCGCAACCGUAGCAGUGAAAAAGCUACACCAAACAAUGAACGAAGAGAUAUCAAAGCCAGUGGUGAAGUAAGAGUUCCUAAACGAAGUAAGAGCGUUAACAGAGAUCCGUCACCGCAACGUCGUGAAGCUCUUCGGCUUCUGCUCCCACCGCCGCCACACAUUUCUGAUCUACGAGUACAUGGAAAAAGGAAGUUUAAACAAACUGUUAGCUGACGACAAAGAAGCUAAGCAACUCAACUGGACCAAAAGGAUAAGCAUCAUCAAAGGUGUUGCAAACGCGUUAUCGUAUAUGCACCAUGACCGAACUACUCCAAUCGUCCACCGUGAUAUUAGUAGCGGCAAUAUCCUUCUCGAUAACGAUUACAAAGCUAAGAUCUCCGAUUUCGGUACAGCGAAGCUUCUCAAGAUGGAUUCCUCAAAUUGGUCCGCCGUCGCCGGAACCUACGGCUACGUCGCUCCAGGUAAAUCUAAAUCAACGAUAAUUGAAAAUUGAAAUUGAGCUCAUGAAACUGAAAAUUCUCAACAGAAUUGGCUUACGCGAUGAAGGUGACGGAGAAAUGCGAUGUGUAUAGCUUUGGAGUAUUGACGCUGGAAGUGAUAAAAGGGAAACAUCCGGGAGAUUUGGUUUCGGCUUUGUCAUCUUCGUCUCCGGGAGAAACUCCGUCGUUGAGAAGCAUUUCCGAUGAGCGUUUAGGAGAACCAGAGGCGGAGAUUAGAGAGAAGCUUGUGAAGAUGAUGGAAGUGGCGUUGUCGUGCUUACAAGCAGAUCCAAUGUCUCGG